CCUACGGGUGGCAGCAGUAGGGAAUAUUGCUCAAUGGGGGAAACCCUGAAGCAGCAAUGCCGCGUGGAGGAUGAAGGUUUUCGGAUUGUAAACUCCUUUUGUUAGAGAAGAUAAUGACGGUAUCUAACGAAUAAGCACCGGCUAACUCCGUGCCAGCAGCCGCGGUAAUACGGAGGGUGCAAGCGUUACGCGGAAUCACUGGGCGUAAAGAGCGCGUAGGCGGGUUGGCAAGUCAGAUGUGAAAUCCUAUGGCUUAACCAUAGAACUGCAUUUGAAACUGGUAAUCUAGAGUAUGGGAGAGGGAGGUAGAAUUCUUGGUGUAGGGGUAAAAUGCGUAGAGAUCAAGAGGAAUACUCAUUGCGAAGGCGACCUGCUAGAACAUAACUGACGCUGAUGCGCGAAAGCGUGGGGAGCAAACAGGAUUAGAUACCCGAGUAGUC
RNAcentral lists this ribosomal RNA (440 nucleotides) under uncultured bacterium. RNAcentral's name for it is "partial 16S ribosomal RNA". It matches the Rfam family "Bacterial small subunit ribosomal RNA", at positions 338 to 795 of the family's 1533-position model. The record is from RNAcentral.